CAGGUGCUUUGCUUGCAUGCUAUAAUGAGAGGGGUUUUUAAACAAAGAAACCGUUGUCACUUUGCCCUGCAUUACUGAAAAUCGCUUUGAUAUGCCUUUUCCUUUUAGGCGAAUGGUUUACCUACCCAGUGGAUAUAAGUUGAUUUUGGAUAACAUUAUGAAUGCUCUUAAAACUUUGUUGACUGUGCAGCUAACUUAUUUUUAACAUAUGUCGUGGUAGGCAUGAAGCAGUAGGCAGUGCACUUGAGUAAUACGCAAUGUGACAAAAAUAAUAGUACUUAAUAUUACAGGCUGCAUACGUUUACAUGUCUCUAAAAGUAUGUGUACAAGUUUUUGUUUCACUCUAACAAAACAUCCGGGCCAUACUCACUAUGUGGGAACAAAUAGCUUCUGCCCUUUUUAACUCAUCUCAUCUCUUGGUGGUCAAAAGAAGCAUCGAUAGUGCAUAUCCUUCCUUUGUCAGGCUACCUAUCUGAAACACAGAAUCCCGUUCAUCUUAACUGUGUGCGAGUUGGUCCCUUUUUAAUAAGUUUCUGUGUUUGUGUGUGUGGGGGUGUGUGCAUGUGGACGGAGGGGGGGCACACCACCUGUCACCCCGUGUGACUUGUAGGUUUUCUGUUGUUUGUUCCACAGAUACCUCGUAAUCUGAAGAAACCAGCAGAAUGCAUCAGUGUCAGAGUUGGCUCCUGUAGCGCAUGCAAGUUGAUCUUAAGCAGAAAACCAGAAGUGGCAGUGGUCUCCAGAAGAGACCAAGGACCCCAAGCUCUCUCUGACACAAGCAGGAAGGGCACUGUGGUGCAUUGAAAACUUGCUCCAGUAGUGCAUUGCCAGUGCACUAUGCUGCUGUUUCAUCAAGGAGAAAGGAGGUGACCAGCCCCAGAGGAACUUCAUGCUCUACAGUACGCCUACGGAGAACACCUCAAGGCGCAUCCAAGCAACGUCCUGGAGGCACAGUGCCACCGGAAUCUCAAUCGCCAUUUGGGGGACCUGCUUAAAGUCCUUAAGAAAUGAUUCCAGUGUGAGGCUUUCAAAACGGCA
Long non-coding RNA from Rhipicephalus sanguineus (brown dog tick), 1038 nucleotides. RefSeq lists it as uncharacterized. Lineage: Eukaryota; Metazoa; Arthropoda; Arachnida; Ixodida; Ixodidae. The transcript has 3 exons. The record is from RefSeq and is a predicted model, not a curated record.